GUAGGGAAUAUUGGGUAAUGGAUGCAAGUCUGACCCAGCCAUCCCGCGUGCCGGAAGAAGGCCCUCAGGGUUGUAAACGGCUUUUGACGGUGAAGAACCGACAGGAUGCGUCCUGUUUUGACGGUAGCCGUUGAAUAAGCACCGGCUAACUCCGUGCCAGCAGCCGCGGUAAUACGGAGGGUGCGAGCGUUGUCCGGAUUUAUUGGGUUUAAAGGGUGCGUAGGCUGGAAGGUCAGUCAGCGGUGAAAAGCUAUCGCUUAACGAUAGUCUUGCCGCAGAUACUUCCUUUCUUGGAUGAGGAGGAGGCCACUGGAACGGAUGGUGUAGCGGUGAAAUGCAUAGAUAUCAUCCAGAACACCGAUUGCGAAGGCAGGUGGCUGUACCUUAAUCGACGCUGAUGCACGAAAGCAUGGGGAGCAAACAGGAUUAGAAACCCCUGUAGUCC
This 445-nucleotide ribosomal RNA is filed under the name uncultured bacterium. RNAcentral's name for it is "partial 16S ribosomal RNA". It matches the Rfam family "Bacterial small subunit ribosomal RNA", at positions 354 to 796 of the family's 1533-position model. The record is from RNAcentral.